UUAUUCAGAUAAUCUGCAGCACAUAUACUGGUGUUGGGGUGAUACAGGGAAGAUUAGCAUGGCCUCUACACAAAGAUGUCACACAAUAAAUGUUGUAUUCCAUAUUUAA
Small nuclear RNA from Stegostoma tigrinum, 109 nucleotides. NCBI's taxonomy places the organism in Eukaryota, Metazoa, Chordata, Chondrichthyes, Orectolobiformes, Stegostomatidae. The record is from RefSeq and is a predicted model, not a curated record.